AGUGAACGCUGGCGGUAGGCCUAACACAUGCAAGUCGAACGGCAGCACAGGAGAGCUUGCUCUCUGGGUGGCGAGUGGCGGACGGGUGAGGAAUACAUCGGAAUCUACUCUGUCGUGGGGGAUAACGUAGGGAAACUUACGCUAAUACCGCAUACGACCUACGGGUGAAAGCAGGGGACCUUCGGGCCUUGCGCGAUUGAAUGAGCCGAUGUCGGAUUAGCUCGUUGGCGGGGUAAAGGCCCACCAAGGCGACGAUCCGUAGCUGGUCUGAGAGGAUGAGCAGCCACACUGGAACUGAGACACGGUCCAGACUCCUACGGGAGGCAGCAGUGGGGAAUAUUGGACAAUGGGCGCAAGCAUGAUCCAGCCAUACCGCGUGGGUGAAGAAGGCCUUCGGGUUGUAAAGCCCUUUUGUUGGGAAAGAAAUCCAGCUGGCUAAUACCCGGUUGGGAUGACGGUACCCAAAGAAUAAGCACCGGCUAACUUCGUGCCAGCCGCCGCCGUAA
This 506-nucleotide ribosomal RNA is filed under the name uncultured bacterium. Its description in RNAcentral is "partial 16S ribosomal RNA". It matches the Rfam family "Bacterial small subunit ribosomal RNA", at positions 29 to 523 of the family's 1533-position model. The record is from RNAcentral.